AUUACACAUAUACAUAUAUAUGAACAAUUUAAAGUUUACUCAAGAAUGUGUAUUUUUUCUACAUUAUAAAAUGUGGUAUUGGGUUCUAGGAAAUUAUUUCAAACUACACGAUCAUUUGAAGAAGAUAGCUCUUAGGAAAAAAGAGAUGAUCUCCUCUAACUUCUUAGAACCACUGCACUGCCAAAUGGGGAUUUAUUUCUAUUGCCUCAUCCAAGUCAGUUCCAAAGCUUAACUCUUCCAUGAAGUUUUCCAUGAUCAAUCCUGCCUAAGAGAACAGGAACAAACCAGAGAAAAUUAUAUGUGUGAGAAUGGAAUAAGGGCUAUCAGAAGAUAGAAAUUUUGACAUAUUUCUGGAAGAUGGAAGCAUAAAGCAGACUGGAAGAAGCUCUAAUCCAGAAAACAUACAGAAGCCUUCAACGGAUGUGUGGGCUGCUCUUCCUGAGAGAACCAUAAGAAGAUUCCAAGCUUGGCAACGGCAGGUAUGGGGACCAGCAAUAGGAAAUAAGGUGAUAAAAAUGCUACUUCCCUUGUAAAGAGAAAGGGCAGCUGCCUACAAAACAACAGUGAUCUUCUAAGGUGUGAGCAAAAGAAAAUGUAUUGUGCAAUAAAUCUAUGAAGCAAGGAGUUAUUUCAGGACUACUUGAUGACGCCAAAUGUGGUCUUUUGAAGGUUCACAGGUGCUGUGAUGUCUUUCACAGGCAAUGGAUAAAGCAUCCUGCAUUGUCCUAGGCACACUCUGUAGGGAAGAUAUGGGAAUCUGAAGUCAACUUUGCCAAAAUUGUGAGGAUUGCUAAUGUGAGAUGAGAAUCUACUCACAAACAUUAAGAAGGUAACAUGAUGAGUGAAGUAAAGAUAACCAACCACGGACCUUUCUUACAAUCUUAGAAUGAUGAGACUGAGAAUUAUUUCAAAUAUAUGAUCUCUUCUAUAAAGACCAAAGAAAUUCUACAAUGCCCAAGCAUUUUUAGAGGGGCUGCUACUAAGAGAAAGCAUGCUCUCAGAUAACCGUUUUCAGAUAACGUCGAGAAAGUGAGAGUAUACACAGAUCAACAUGAUGGUCCACUUAACGGGGGAAGAGAGUAAAAUGUUGGUGUCACUGACAAGGAUGGCAACAUUUAAAUGUUCAGAUCCUUACAGGAGAAGCAUUGCAGUCACUUGACAAUCUCAAGCUAUGUGUUUCUUCAGUGCUUCUUGAAAACAUUUAUAAUACAGAAGAUGGUUUUAAAAAAUGUAUAACUUUUUCAAUGAAAAUGUGAAUUUCAACA
Molecule: long non-coding RNA, 1265 nt
Filed under: Homo sapiens (human)
Lineage: Eukaryota; Metazoa; Chordata; Mammalia; Primates; Hominidae
Description: HSALNT0361997
Source: RNAcentral